UGGGGAAUAUUGGACAAUGGGCGCAAGCCUGAUCCAGCCAUGCCGCGUGAGUGAUGAAGGCCCUAGGGUUGUAAAGCUCUUUCACCGGUGAAGAUAAUGACGGUAACCGGAGAAGAAGCCCCGGCUAACUUCGUGCCAGCAGUCGCGGUAAUACGAAGGGGGCUAGCGUUGUUCGGAUUUACUGGGCGUAAAGCGCACGUAGGCGGACUAUUAAGUCAGGGGUGAAAUCCCGGGGCUCAACCCCGGAACUGCCUUUGAUACUGGUAGUCUUGAGUUAGAGAGAGGUGAGUGGAAUUCCGGGUGUAGAGGUGAAAUUCGUAGAUAUUCGGAGGAACAACAGUGGCGAAGGCGGCUCACUGGCUCGAUAAUGACGCUGAGGUGCGAAAGCGUGGGGAGCAAACAGG
This 404-nucleotide ribosomal RNA is filed under the name Actinomycetes bacterium. Its description in RNAcentral is "Actinobacteria bacterium partial 16S ribosomal RNA". It matches the Rfam family "Bacterial small subunit ribosomal RNA", at positions 355 to 776 of the family's 1533-position model. Lineage: Bacteria; Bacillati; Actinomycetota; Actinomycetes. The record is from RNAcentral.